RNAcentral lists this ribosomal RNA (500 nucleotides) under uncultured bacterium. RNAcentral describes it as "partial 16S ribosomal RNA". It matches the Rfam family "Bacterial small subunit ribosomal RNA", at positions 28 to 523 of the family's 1533-position model. The record is from RNAcentral.
GACGAACGCUGGCGGCGUGCCUAAUACAUGCAAGUCGAGCGGACCUCUUCGGAGGUCAGCGGCGGACGGGUGAGUAACACGUGGGCAACCUGCCUGUAAGACUGGGAUAACACCGGGAAACCGGUGCUAAUACCGGAUAAUCCCUUUCUUCACAUGGGGAAAAGCUGAAAGACGGUUUCGGCUGUCACUUACAGAUGGGCCCGCGGCGCAUUAGCUAGUUGGUGAGGUAACGGCUAACCAAGGCGACGAUGCGUAGCCGACCUGAGAGGGUGAUCGGCCACACUGGGACUGAGACACGGCCCAGACUCCUACGGCAGGCAGCAGUAGGGAAUCUUCCGCAAUGGACGAAAGUCUGACGGAGCAACGCCGCGUGAGCGAAGAAGGCCUUCGGGUCGUAAAGCUCUGUUGUCAGGGAAGAACACGUACCGGAGUAACUGCCGGUACCUUGACGGUACCUGACCAGAAAGCCACGGCUAACUACGUGCCAGCAGCCGCCGUAA